Molecule: small nucleolar RNA, 107 nt
Organism: Dioscorea cayenensis subsp. rotundata (Guinea yam)
Lineage: Eukaryota; Viridiplantae; Streptophyta; Magnoliopsida; Dioscoreales; Dioscoreaceae
Source: RefSeq, a predicted model, not a curated record
AUUCCAUGUUGGAGACAUUUUCUUAACAAUUCCUUGUACCGUUCCUAUGUCUCAUACAAGAUUAUAGCGUCCAUUUGUCUGAAUGAUGAAAUAUCACUCCUCAACUU